AUCUUCAUCUCUCUGCACAAUGACCACGGUGAUGUCGAGGAUUCCCUUUCUUCAUCCACCAAACACCCAAUCCCUCACCCUCCUCCAACUCUUCUGCUCCACCGAUACCCCAACUGAAUCCCCACCCGACCCGCAAACCCCAAGACCCAGGCAGCUGCGUCGGGUUCGGAGCCCGGAAAAGCCCAAGGACAUUAUCUGCAGAAUAAUGGCCAAUCGGGGAUGGACGACCUCCAGAUUUCCAGAUCAGCGUCUCAUCAACUCCAGAUUUCCAUCAAAAACUCAAGAUCUGCAGGUAAGGGCAUCUUUGUGGAUGUUGAACACAUCAAUUUGCAUUGAUCUUAAGUGGAUCUCUGGAAGUAUUUGUUUUCUAUCUUAUUCUCUGAUACCCCUUAUGGGCAAACGAAGAAACAGUCUUUUUUGGGAGAUUGUGAGAUUUGGGUUAUCAAUUCGGCUCUGGUCAGGCAUGUCAAAUCCCCUUUGCAUCUGAAAUUCAUUAGAUGCAAACAAAGACUCAAUCUCUACAUAACACAGGUUGGAUCUCAAGAUUAUUCCUUCAAGAUAUGGAGAAUGACCAUGAAGUCGAACAUGAAAUUCAAGAUCUGCAGAAUCACCAUGAAGAACAAAAAGAACAACUAUGACUAUAAUUGAGAAUAAACGGAGGAAUUUAAAAUAAGUAUCUAAAUAUGAAUAAUUGUAAUACAUUUAUUCUGAAAUAUAAAUAUUAAUGAUAAUUUGGAAAUUUGGAAGUUAAUAUAAUUGAGAUUCAUAGGGGACCCACCUAAUAUAGCUCACACGGACAAGCUUUCCGUGUGAAAAUGAUUUAGCAACGCUCGCAACACAUACAAAUUGUGAA
Long non-coding RNA from Rosa rugosa (rugosa rose), 853 nucleotides. RefSeq lists it as uncharacterized. The transcript has 3 exons. The record is from RefSeq and is a predicted model, not a curated record. Lineage: Eukaryota; Viridiplantae; Streptophyta; Magnoliopsida; Rosales; Rosaceae.